RNAcentral lists this ribosomal RNA (277 nucleotides) under uncultured prokaryote. RNAcentral's name for it is "partial 16S ribosomal RNA". It matches the Rfam family "Bacterial small subunit ribosomal RNA", at positions 524 to 800 of the family's 1533-position model. The record is from RNAcentral.
UACGUAGGUGGCAAGCGUUAUCCGGAAUUAUUGGGCGUAAAGAGCGCGCAGGUGGUUGAUUAAGUCUGAUGUGAAAGCCCACGGCUUAACCGUGGAGGGUCAUUGGAAACUGGUCGACUUGAGUGCAGAAGAGGGAAGUGGAAUUCCUAGUGUAGCGGUGAAAUGCGUAGAUAUUAGGAGGAACACCAGUGGCGAAGGCGACUUUCUGGACUGUAACUGACACUGAGGUACGAAAGCGUGGGUAGCAAACAGGAUUAGAUACCCGCGUAGUCCCUGA